This is an RNA transcript of Oncorhynchus tshawytscha (Chinook salmon), 2366 nucleotides long. It is a transcript of the gene named AH receptor-interacting protein, with no coding region annotated. NCBI's taxonomy places the organism in Eukaryota, Metazoa, Chordata, Actinopteri, Salmoniformes, Salmonidae. The transcript is spliced from 7 exons. The record is from RefSeq and is a predicted model, not a curated record.
CUCUCGAGCUCCCGAAGAUAGGCAAUCGGCUGCUUUUUGACACUCGGGGAAACAAGGAUGGAGGAACUGGCUACCAAGCUACUCGCAGAAGGCAUUCAGAAGAAAGUGAUCAGUCCUGGCAAAGGAGAUCUGUCAACGUUUCCUGAUGGGACCAAGGUGAUAUUUCACUACCGCUCCAGCUUGUGCGAUGGCACAGUGUUGGAUGACUCCAGGACCAUGGGGGGCCGGAGCAAGCCCAUGGAACUCAUCUUGGGGAAGAAGUUCAAGCUGGCCGUGUGGGAGCGAGUCAUUGCCACCAUGAGGGAGGGAGAGGUGGCAGAUUUCACAUGUGACGUCAAGCAUACAGCCCUAUACCCGCUGGUGUCCCAGUCCCUGAGGAACAUCAGUGCAGGGAAGGAUCCCCUGGAGGGCCAGAGACACUGCUGUGGCAUUGCUCAGAUCCACUCACACCACUCCCUGGGCCACUGUGACCUCGACAAGCUCCAGGCCAACCCUCAGCCCCUGGUCUUCACCCUGGAGCUCAUGGAGGUUUUGACACCCGGCUCGUUCAGACUGGACAUCUGGGCGAUGACGGACGACGAGAAGCUGGAGGUGGUGCCUCAGAUCCACGUGGAGGGUAACGCCCUGUACAAGAAGGGCGAUGUGAAGGAGGCGGCUGAGAAGUACCACAACGCCAUCGCCUGUCUGAAGAACCUGCAGAUGAAGGAGCGUCCAGGCGAUGAGGGGUGGAUCAAGCUGGACCUCAUGAUCACGCCCCUGAUGCUGAACUACUGCCAGUGUCAGCUGAUCCAGGGUCAGUACUACGAGGUGCUGGACCACUGCUCCUCCAUCCUCUCCAAAUACGAGGGUGAACAACGUGAAGGCCUACUUCAAGCGGGCCAAGGCCCACGCGGCGGUGUGGAACGAGAUGGAGGCGCGGGCCGACUUUGCCAAGGUGGUGGAGCUGGACCCGUCGCUGGGGCCCUCGGUGGCUAAGGAGCUGAGGGCCAUGGAGGAGAGGAUCCGCUCCAAGGAGAAGGAGGAGAAGGGCCGCUACAAGAGUCUGUUCAGCUCCGACAGCAACGCCCCGGCCACCGCUACCACGGGUUGAAUUAAGAAGAUGUUUACUUUUGUUAUAAAGAAGAGAGGAGGAGCAUUUGUGGACACAUUGCUGACACGUUUAGUUUUAUCCAUACAUCAAAGCCAUAUUCAGUUUCCCCAUGAAACAUCACUUUCGGGAUGCCCUCUCAAAACCCACACGCCACUCGCAUGGCACAUAUUCUCCAUCUAGAUUCACUUAUCAUUUGUAGAAUGACAUUACACACCCACACAAAUGUACCCUCCACACCAACAGACUUUCAAUGUUCAGCUUUCCCCCUACUGCAAACAGCCAUUUACAUCACACACGCUGCGAAAGCACAGGAAUACGCAGGAGAUCCUCCACUUCUGGCAGUAUGACUGGGACAUCAACUUCGGAGACAAUCAUAAGAUGUAUGAUAUGUAUGGACACUAGCGCAGUCUCCACCAUAUCCCUCUUGUUCACCCCUUUCUCAUUUACCCCUAUUAAUGUUCUAUAUAUGACUAUCCAAGUUAUUUACUCUUAUCUUCACUUGUAUCUAUUAUUGUUAUGUUAUUAUUAUUACUGUAUUACAUUUCAUUUGCUAAUCUGUGUUUUUGGAGUCCUGUAUAUUUUAAGCUAAGACGUUUUGUAAUGGACUGUUUUGCCCUCAACUCAACCAUCACCCCAACGCCACUUGCCUUUUGGUCAGUCGAACAGAGCUAAUGAUUUGCCCAAGUCAUUGGCAUCAGUGAGUGUAGUUGGGAUAGUGGCCAUCAUUUUGGCCCCUAGCUCAUUCCUGUGUUCAACGAACUGAAAUGACUGUAUAGACGAAGGCAAUAUAGAUAGGUGAAAGCGGAGGCUUGAUUUUAGACUACUCCUUCCAGGCCUCCAAUAGUCACUGAAGGGUUAGAGAUGGUAAUGAAACCGGGGCGAUGUCUCACUGGCAAGCAUCAACUAGAAGGUCGAGAGCCUCUUCUGUAGGGCUCAUUUUCAUAGGCUUGCACAUCAAACGAAUGACACAGCUCGUCAUACCAGCAUUUAACUAAUUUGUCCCUUGUAUUUGUGAAAAUUGCAUCUAAGGGUCACCAAGACUUGACUCAAGUGUCAGUUGUAUGAAAUGGGUGUUCUUACCUAGCCUGGUUGAAGCAGAGUAAAUGCUACACUCAACAUUGUUUUCAUUGGUGAGCAGUGUUCAAUCUGAUUUAACCAGGCUACUUAUCAUGCCUUCUAUAUAAUGUAUAUGCCGGGACAGCCAGGAGUGCUUUUUGCAGCCGUCUUUUGCUGUUAUGUUAUGACUGAGAAGCCAAAUAAAGAGGUGCAACUCUUA